GAUUUGCAUGAGGGAUCGCAACGGCAUCUCCCGAUUUAGAAAAACAAGGCUUUUGCCGUAGUUUUUGUUAAUCGGGAAUAUAGUGGAGAGCCCGACCUCGU
This 101-nucleotide small RNA is filed under the name Flavobacterium sp. 103. RNAcentral describes it as "Flavo-1 RNA". The record is from RNAcentral. Lineage: Bacteria; Pseudomonadati; Bacteroidota; Flavobacteriia; Flavobacteriales; Flavobacteriaceae.